Molecule: RNA transcript, 4474 nt
Organism: Myiozetetes cayanensis
Lineage: Eukaryota; Metazoa; Chordata; Aves; Passeriformes; Tyrannidae
Gene: ALG6
Gene name: ALG6 alpha-1,3-glucosyltransferase
Exons: 19
Source: RefSeq, a predicted model, not a curated record
CGGAAGCGCGCGUGGCGGCCGAGCCGGUCCCUUUUGGCUUGUCACAAAGAGCAGCCAUGGAGAAGUGGAGCUUAAUGACAGUUGCUGUGUUACUGGCACUUACUGUGCGCUGGGCUGUGUCUCUGGGCUCCUACUCAGGUGCAGGAAAACCACCUAUGUAUGGAGACUAUGAAGCUCAGAGGCACUGGCAAGAAAUUACUUACAAUUUACCCAUCAGGCAGUGGUACUUCAACACAAGUGAUAACAACCUCCUGUACUGGGGCCUUGAUUAUCCACCUCUCACAGCCUAUCACAGUUUUGUCUGUGCUUACAUUGCCAAGUUCAUAAAUCCUGACUGGGUUGCCCUGCACAGCUCCCGGGGCUACGAGAGUCAGCCACACAAGCUCUUUAUGAGGACAACAGUGUUUGUUGCUGAUUUGCUGGUUUAUAUUCCUGCAGUUAUUUUAUAUUGUUCUUCCUUGAAAGAAACAUCUGCUAAAAAGAAGGUUUCCAGUGCUCUCUGUAUCCUGCUUUAUCCAGGCCUCAUUCUUAUUGACCAUGGACACUUCCAAUACAACUCAGUGAGCCUCGGUUUUGCCUUGUGGGGUGUCCUUUGUUUGUCCCAUGACUGGGACCUCCUGGGCUCGGUGGCCUUUUGCUUGGCCUUAAAUUACAAGCAAAUGGAGCUCUACCAUUCCCUGCCCUUUUUUUGCUAUUUACUGGGGAAGUGCUUCAAGAAGGGACUGAAAGGAAAGGGGUUGGUGCUGUUGAGCAAACUGGCAGGGACAGUGGUGCUGUCCUUCGCUGCCUGCUGGCUCCCGUUCGGCACCGACGUGGAACAAAUCAUGCAAGUACUCAGAAGACUCUUUCCCAUUGACAGAGGCUUGUUUGAGGAUAAAGUAGCCAAUAUUUGGUGCAGUCUAAGUGUCCUUAUAAAGAUAAAGAAUGUAGUGUCACCUCAAACUCAGCUCAAACUCAGUUUUGCUGUGACAUUCCUGAGCCUGCUUCCUGCCUGUAUCAAACUCACUGUCCAGCCUUCCCUCAGAGGGUUUAAAUUUGCUUUGGUUAGUUGUGCCCUGUCAUUUUUCCUGUUCUCCUUUCAAGUCCAUGAAAAAUCCAUUCUUCUGGUGGCACUCCCAGUUUGCUUAAUCAUAAAUGAAAUCCCCUUUAUGGCCACGUGGUUCUUACUCGUAUCAACCUUCAGCAUGCUGCCUCUCCUGCUGCGGGACGGGCUGCUCCUGCCCUAUGCCGUGACCAUGCCAGCAUUCCUGGCCACCUGCCUGGCCUCCUUCUCCAUCCUGGACAAGACCUCAGCAGAGGACCUGCAGCUCAAAGCGUUCUCCCUUUCCCUGAAGGGAUAUGUGUCUUGGUUUAAGUCCUUUCCCAGGAUUGUCAGGACUCUGUUCCUCCUUUCCCUGUCCCUGAUGGGUGUCCUGUCUCUCCUGAGUGCUGCAGUGCCUCCUCCCCAGAGCCUCCCGGAUUUGUUCCCUGUAUCCGUGUCCAUUGUUUCCUGCUUACACUUCUUAUUAUUUCUGGUCUAUUUUAACGUUGUGAUACUCUGGGACUCCAAGAAUAGCAAAAGCCAGAAGAAAAUCAGUUAAUCCACCUGUGGAGCUCCAGGACUGAAGUGUGCAGGACAGAGUGCGUUUGCGUCAAAAGCAUAAGGAAGUCACGCAGGUAAAGUCGAAACACUGGACUGGCAGCUCUGAAUUUGUGCUGCUGAAUUGUUUUACGACACAAACUUUCCUCCAUCGCGACAUUUGUGCCUUCACUGUUGGUCAGCAGCUCUGAUCCAAGUGGUUCUAACACCUCUGCAGCCUUAGGACUCAACAGCUGUCUCUUCAGCAGGACUGAAAAGCCAAAACCUCUUCUUUCUCCUGCAGUAAAAGCUGAGGUGCUGCAGUGCAGUUGGAAACCAGAGCUUCUGAGUAAGUUAAAGCACAUAAACCCAAAGAGAACACUCACACAACUCCUGGGUGAGGAUGGAUGAGAGCAGAGAAGCUGGAAAAAGGGCAUGUGGAGGGGACCAGAAGGCACCUGGGCUGCAGCAGAAGAGGUGGGUGGUGUAGGCCCAGCUUGUUCCUCUCCUCAGCUUCAAUUUUAGGGUUCCCAGGAUAAGGGAGGAGCUGGAAUCACCCCAACCCUAUUCCUGCAGGGUUGGCAGAGCCCUCACUGCCCUCGGACGUGGCAUCUCUCGGCCCACAGGAGCAUUAAAAGGGCUGGAUCUUCCCAAGUUUCCUUCCCCUUCCUAGUUCCCCUGCCACUCUUCCCCAAGUUUGACUGCUCUAAAACAUUUACAGAUCUAAAAAGCAGAGAGAAAAAAAAUGUUCACCUGUCGGGUGAUAUAAAACCAAUCUUCUACUAAAUGUGCCAGAAUAAUUUUUCUCCACCUCAACCACAGUUAAAACCUUCAGUCUAUUCAUUACUGUCUUUUUAUAGUAUUUUUAUUUAAUAAAACCUAUUAAGACUACCAUACAAAUCUCUUUACUUAUGCUUUUAUCUUUUAACUGAUCAAUUUUUAUAUUGCUGACAUCCCUUCUUCACCAUUUGCUCAUUUAAAAAUUCAUAGUAUAUGAGCUCUGUCUCUGGAGAAAACGUCUAUAAAAUUUGUUACAGCUGGCAAAUGUGUAUGAGUCAGUGAUAGCACAUGACUAAAUGCUUCACAGAAAAUAAAAUUUGUUUCUGUAGUAAGCAGAACUGUUUAAAUGUUAUUUAUUUUUAUGUUUCAAAGAAAAUAUAUUGUGAAGUGCUGCAUUGAUUUAAUAGGCAGCAAUGUCUGUGUACACGCUGUACCCGGGAAAUUUAUGAAACCUUUGCACAACUCCUUUAAUUGAAUUUUCCAAAUCUCUCACCACACACAAAUAAUCAAUAUCUUCUGCAGAGAAAACCAGUCAGAAUUAUUACAGUCUUUCUUUUCAAUUUUGUUGUCAUCAGCACAUACAGAGCACCUGGAUAUUUGUAAUGUCUGGAUGGCAAGUUAUUUACACCUCUUAAACAUAUAAUUGCUACUAAGUGAGUCCAAACUAAUGUUUCUUUUCUUUUUUAUUUAAAAUAAUUAUAUUCAUGGGACAAAGCAGUAUUUAUUGUGCUGGAGGAGUUGCUACAUGUAGCUGUUGGAAGAACUACAAUUCUUCUGAAUUUUUCAUUAAGCUUAAUACUCUCAACUAGAUCCACUAGAAUUAAAAAUUAAUAGCUGUUGUGUCUCUAAAAAGGUAAAUAGGAAAAUAGAGAGUAAAUAUGAGUGGGAAAUCUGUGAAUAAAUGGGGCUGCCACCCAAAUGUGAAAUGCAGGGUGACAGUUCUGGGUGUGCCACACUCAUAUGUCUCACGUGCAUUUCUGGGUCUGCCACAGCAGGUAAUGGCUUAAUAUUUUAUCUGCAUAGCACAGGGUGUUCCAUCACUGCAGCUCUGGAACCUGCUCCUUCCUUCCAGCCCAAAGCUCCUCCUCACACCCAGAGAGACUCCUCAAACCUCGGGCUGGACUCUAAAAUAUGGACUCUGAUGGAGUGGGUGCACCCAACAGCCCCAAGUCCUGCUGGGAAGGAGCAGUGGAAACCUCCCCCCAGCUCCUCUGCCAGGACAACUCCUCCUUGUUCCAGGAAAAGUGCUGGCACUGCAGAUUUUGGGGACUGGGUGAGUGGGUUUUGUUACCUUUCCAGAUUGGGAGGGACUUGCUCGGUCCCAGACUAAACCAGACUCCCCUGCACAGACCAAGGGAUGGUGUAGACAAACUGAGCUGCAGCAACAGCAGCUCCUCGUGGGCAGGACAGAGAUCAGAGCCCAGCCCACACCUGGGAGAACUGACACACCCUUGCCGUGUCUGAUGGGGGAAAGGCCUCAGGAGCACAAACACGGACAUCCUUCCACAGGGAAGAGCAGCUGAACGAGGCCAGACCUCUCCAACACCACAGAGCUCUGACUGCUUGGAGCUGAGUCCCCAGAGACACAGGACACAACACUCCGAGGGUUUCGGCUCCCAGGAAUCAUCUCCCAGUUGGAAUGUGUGCUGAGCCUCUCUCUAAUCUCUGCCUAUGCAGCCUGCCUGGGGCUGGGCUCGCUGAACUCGGUUGAUCAUCAGGCUUUAGACUGUGUUUUUUCAGAAAAUGUUACUUUUUAAUUCAGUUCCUAUUUUAGUUUCAGAACCUUUCUGACCAGGCCAAGAGGGCAACAUCUCCUGGCUGGAUGUGCAGUCGGGAGAACCGAGGGCACCACCAGGGACGUGAACUCAGGGCAGACAUUUGGGACGAGAGGCAAAACACCCAACCUGGCCCAAGAAACUAUUUCCCUUUCUGGUUCGGAAGAGCAGGAGGAAUGAACUUCAGAACCUCUGACUUGGAGGAAGGAUAAAGAGUUUCCUAAAAAUGGACACAUAAUUCUGACCAAUGAACUUCUCACUUGGGACUGCAGCUUCAGGAACCUGCAUCCAGAAAAGGUAACACAAUUCCAAUUACUCUCAUCAGCACUCACUGAAAUUCCAUGUUUGCAAUGUUUCCCAG